This 222-nucleotide ribosomal RNA is filed under the name uncultured bacterium. RNAcentral describes it as "partial 16S ribosomal RNA". It matches the Rfam family "Bacterial small subunit ribosomal RNA", at positions 524 to 740 of the family's 1533-position model. The record is from RNAcentral.
UACGUAGGGCGCAAGCGUUGUCCGGAAUUAUUGGGCGUAAAGAGCUCGUAGGCGGUUUGUCGCGUCUGCUGUGAAAACCUAAGGCUCAACCUUGGGCUUGCAGUGGGUACGGGCAGACGUAGAGUGCGGUAGGGGUGACUGGAAUUCCGUGGUGUAGCGGUGGAAUGCGACAGAUAUCGAGGAGGAACACCCGAUGGCGAAGGCAGGUCACUGGGCCGCAAC